This 496-nucleotide ribosomal RNA is filed under the name uncultured bacterium. RNAcentral describes it as "partial 16S ribosomal RNA". It matches the Rfam family "Bacterial small subunit ribosomal RNA", at positions 28 to 506 of the family's 1533-position model. The record is from RNAcentral.
GAUGAACGCUGGCGGCGUGCCUAAUACAUGCAAGUCGAGCGAACAGACGAGGAGCUUGCUCCUCUGGCGUUAGCGGCGGACGGGUGAGUAACACGUGGAUAACCUACCUAUAAGACUGGGAUAACUUCGGGAAACCGGAGCUAAUACCGGAUAAUAUAUUGAACCGCAUGGUUCAAUAGUGAAAGACGGUUUUGCUGUCACUUAUAGAUGGAUCCGCGCCGCAUUAGCUAGUUGGUAAGGUAACGGCUUACCAAGGCGACGAUGCGUAGCCGACCUGAGAGGGUGAUCGGCCACACUGGAACUGAGACACGGUCCAGACUCCUACGGGAGGCAGCAGUAGGGAAUCUUCCGCAAUGGGCGAAAGCCUGACGGAGCAACGCCGCGUGAGUGAUGAAGGUCUUCGGAUCGUAAAACUCUGUUAUUAGGGAAGAACAAAUGUGUAAGUAACUAUGCACGUCUGGACGGUACCUAAUCAGAAAGCCACGGCUAACUACGU